GUGCCAGCCGCCGCGGUAAUACCGGCAGCCCGAGUGAUGGCCGAUCUUAUUGGGCCUAAAGCGUCCGUAGCUGGCUGCGCAAGUCCGUCGGGAAAUCCAGUAGCUCAACUACUGGGCGUCCGGCGGAAACUACAAGGCUUGGGACCGGAAGGCUCGAGGGGUACGUCCGGGGUAGGAGUGAAAUCCUGUAAUCCCGCACGGACCACCGAUGGCGAAAGCACCUCGAGAAGACGGACCCGACAGUGAGGGACGAAAGCUGGGAUCUCGAACCGGAUUAGAAACCCCGGUAGUCC
RNAcentral lists this ribosomal RNA (293 nucleotides) under uncultured bacterium. Its description in RNAcentral is "partial 16S ribosomal RNA". It matches the Rfam family "Archaeal small subunit ribosomal RNA", at positions 455 to 747 of the family's 1478-position model. The record is from RNAcentral.